CUCCACAUUUUUUAAGUUUUUUUUAUUUUAAAUUUCAUGAUUACCUUACCUCGGUGAAGUACCAAAUCUGAAUUUUAUGAUUACGUCUUGGAAAGAUACCAAAUCUUUUCAAAUCCAUCUUGUAAAGAUAUCAAAUCUAUUCAAAACUUUUCCGACAAAAUUCUCAUUUACUUAAAUUUCAUGAUUACCUUAUCUCUGCGAAGUAUAAAAAUCUAGAUUUUAUGAUCACACCUCGGGAAGGUACAAAAUCUUUUCAAAUUCAUCUCGGAAAGGUACUAAAGCUAUUCAAAUCUUUUCCGACAAAAUUCUCAUUUCCUUAUCUCGGGAAAGGACAAAAUCUUCACCCUGAUUCGCAUGUGUAUAUAGGAGAACGUGUACUUAGAAGGGACAAAAUUCUCACAUUGAUUCGCGUGUGUAUAUAGCAGAACGUGUAUACAAAUAUAAAAAUUGGUGGUUUUUUAGAUACACGCGGCGUCUCCACAUUUUUCCAGUAUUUUUUAUUUUAAAUAUUACUCGGUAAGUACUAAAUCUAAAUUUCAUGAUUACACCUCGGGAAGGCACUAAAUCUUUUCAAAUCUAGUUCGAGAAGGUACAAAAUCUACCCAAAUCUUUUCUGACAAAAUUCUCAUUUCCUUAAUUCGGGAAGAGACAAAAUCUUCAUCUUGAUUUGCGUGUACAUAUAGAAGAACGUGUACUCAAAAGAGACAAUUUCCACCUUGAUUUGUGUGUAUGUAGGAGAGCGUGUACUCAUAAGGUUGGAAUCUUGAAAAAAUUUUCAUUUUCUUACCUCAAAAAGGGACAAAAUCCUCACCUUAAUUCGGAUAUGUAUAUAGGAGAACGUUUACUCAUGAGGUUGGAAUAUUGAAAAAUUUUCCUAAUUGCUUCUUCCUCCUCUCCCUCUCAUGCACUGAAUUUCACCUCUCUUUAUACUAAAUUUUACAUUUCUUUUGUAUUUUUUGCUGGAUUUCUGAGAGCUACUUAGAUUCGUGUUGCACCACCCUGAAGAUGUGCCUACGGAUGGAAGGUGGUCAUUGUAUCGUUAGGAGUGAUUGCCGGAGCCUCGCGCAUGAAGAGGCAUUCUCGCUUCUAGGACAGUGCUUUCGCACACCUCGACUAACAACCCUCAUCUAAACCUCUUUUCUCUAUAUUAUUUUCUACCUAAUCCGUUCUUAUAAUUUUUCGAAAACAAAAGUUAUAAUUAUUUUUUUUUAAAAUUGUUUAAAAAUUAAAUUGUUCAAGCUAAAUAUAUGUUUGCAUAUUAUAUAAU
This 1267-nucleotide long non-coding RNA is filed under the name Ananas comosus (pineapple). Its description in RNAcentral is "long non-coding RNA (ACOM_LNC007049)". Lineage: Eukaryota; Viridiplantae; Streptophyta; Magnoliopsida; Poales; Bromeliaceae. The record is from RNAcentral.